Molecule: unclassified non-coding RNA, 273 nt
Filed under: Hevea brasiliensis (rubber tree)
Lineage: Eukaryota; Viridiplantae; Streptophyta; Magnoliopsida; Malpighiales; Euphorbiaceae
Source: RNAcentral
AAAAAGGGCAAACAGAGAGAGAGGACUUAACAGAGUAAAAACUCUCUGAGAGCGAAGGAGGGAGAGAGAUUGCUUUUGCGUCGAGCUAAAGUGCGCCGGUUCUCCGGUGAUCUAAAUCUUGCCGUUGAUUCCCCUCGUGGUCCCGCCAAGAUCCUCGACGAAGACCGUUUGAUAUUCUGACAAAUAAUUCUCUCUUAGUUUGCUUGCCGUUUAUGGAUAGACCUAAUAUGAGCAUAUAAAAUUAAAAAAUAUUUUUACAGCUUUUUUCCUUUU